GUUGCCCUUCAUCUUGGAAUGGUAUAAUGUGCAAUGGUGGUAAUGUUGCAGCAGUUGUCCUUGAUAACAUGGGUUUAUCUGCUGAUGCAGAUUUGAGUGUGUUUGCUAACCUCACAAUGCUUGUGAAACUCUCUAUGGCUAACAAUUCGAUUACUGGACAAAUGCCAAAGAAAAUUGGUGAUUUUAAGAGUCUUGAAUAUCUG
RNAcentral lists this unclassified non-coding RNA (203 nucleotides) under Hevea brasiliensis (rubber tree). Lineage: Eukaryota; Viridiplantae; Streptophyta; Magnoliopsida; Malpighiales; Euphorbiaceae. The record is from RNAcentral.